AUCAAGCAUUUGCAUAGAAAGUUGAUUGAUGCAUAGCAGGCCGAACGAUAUGUUUUUGUCAAUCCAGUAUUGGUCUCAAAAGCUGGAAUGGGAGAGGGAAGCAAGGAAAACAGGUCAAGGGUUAUUGCAGAUCGACUAAAGAAUACAAAGCAUGCUGAAUAUAUGCUUAUUCCAUACAACCCAGAUUUCCAUUGGGUGUUAGUGGCAUUGGAGAUGAAGAAAAUGAUUGCAUAUUACCUUAAUCCAAUGGCCUGUCAACCAUGUGAUGAUCUUAAGGACAUAGUUAACAUGGCAAUGAGAAUCAACCCACCGGAAAAACAGAAAACAUCAAAGAGGGAGCCAACUUGGGUGAAAGUGGUUUGCCCAAGACAACCAGGUAGUGUGGAAUGUGGGUAUUACGUGAUGAGAUAUAUGAAGGAAAUCAUUGCUAAUCCAAACCAACUAACAUCAAAGUUUUGCGGGAAGAAAUCAUAUAGUGAAAUGGAAAUUAAUGAAGUUCAAUCAGAUUGGGUUAUGUUAGUGACUCAGUUAAUCAUUACUCAUGUUUGAAGUUGGCAGUGUUUUCAAUAUGGAUCAUUUUGGGGGUUGCUCUAUUAUGAUUGAUGUAUAGUUGGCAUAUUGAGAGGUGAAGCCAAGUAGACAUGGUUGUACAAAAAGGCAUAGGUCAUUCUAUUAACAAC
Molecule: RNA transcript, 680 nt
Organism: Vitis vinifera (wine grape)
Lineage: Eukaryota; Viridiplantae; Streptophyta; Magnoliopsida; Vitales; Vitaceae
Exons: 7
Source: RefSeq, a predicted model, not a curated record